GAUGAACGCUGGCGGCGUGCCUAAUACAUGCAAGUCGAGCGAACGGACGAGAAGCUUGCUUCUCUGAUGUUAGCGGCGGACGGGUGAGUAACACGUGGAUAACCUCCCUAUAAGACUGGGAUAACUUCGGGAAACCGGAGCUAAUACCGGAUAAUAUUUUGAACCGCAUGGUUCAAAAGUGAAAGACGGUCUUGCUGUCACUUAUAGAUGGAUCCGCGCUGCAUUAGCUAGUUGGUAAGGUAACGGCUUACCAAGGCAACGAUGCAUAGCCGACCUGAGAGGGUGAUCGGCCACACUGGAACUGAGACACGGACCAGACUCCUACGGGAGGCAGCAGUAGGGAACCUUCCGCAAUGGUCGAAAGCCUGACGGAGCAACGCCGCGUGAGUGAUGAAGGUCUUCGGAUCGUAAAACUCUGUUAUGAGGGAAGAACAUAUGUGUAAGUAACUGUGCACAGCUUGACGGUACCUAAUCAGAAAGCCACGGCUAACUACGUG
RNAcentral lists this ribosomal RNA (497 nucleotides) under uncultured bacterium. RNAcentral describes it as "partial 16S ribosomal RNA". It matches the Rfam family "Bacterial small subunit ribosomal RNA", at positions 28 to 507 of the family's 1533-position model. The record is from RNAcentral.